ACAGCUGUCGUUGUGUAUGAAGAAAAAAACAAAGAGGAGUUGGAGUCAUGUGCUGUUUCAGAAAAUCCGUUUACUAUUGAAGACAACACGUCUGGUACACAUGAAAUAGCAGAAUUUGAGGCAAUGCUAGAUGAUAAUAUAAACGAAGAAGUGGAACUUUGUGUGGCUAUUGAAGAGCCAUUUUUUGUUGACGACGACACUUCUGUUAACAGUCACGCAGCGAGAUUUGGAGCAGUAGAAAAUAGUUGUUUGCUGAGUGAUGAUAGUUCAAAUGAAGAGGCUGCACAAAGUGAAAAGUUAUCAAACUGUGAUUCAGAUAACCAAGAAGAUAUUACAUGAAUCACUUGUGCAGGACAGUUAAGAGUUCUAUCACAACUUUUUCAUCAGUGUGAGAAUAGAUUUUUGUAUUUAAUUUACUGGAUGUGUCUUUUUUACAAUGUCUUUAUACGUUUAGGCUGCACAAAGUGAAAAGUUAUCAAACUGUGAUUCAGAUAACCAAGAAGAUAUUACAUGGAUCACUUGUGCAGGACAGUUAAGAGUUCUAUCACAACUUUUUCAUCAGUGUGAGAAGCGAUAAUAGAUAAU
Molecule: long non-coding RNA, 585 nt
Organism: Xenia sp. Carnegie-2017
Lineage: Eukaryota; Metazoa; Cnidaria; Anthozoa; Malacalcyonacea; Xeniidae
Exons: 2
Source: RefSeq, a predicted model, not a curated record